This is a long non-coding RNA of Zalophus californianus (California sea lion), 3020 nucleotides long. RefSeq lists it as uncharacterized. The transcript is spliced from 5 exons. Lineage: Eukaryota; Metazoa; Chordata; Mammalia; Carnivora; Otariidae. The record is from RefSeq and is a predicted model, not a curated record.
UAUUUGAAUUUUCAAAAGAAGAAUUUAAAUAGUCAUCAUGGAUAAAAUAAAAACUUAUUUUAAAAAAGGACUUGUAUUGCUAGGUAAUUAUUUUACUAUGUUAUAAAGAUCUACUUAUCACAAAUUUGUAUGUGUAUGUGCAUAUACAUAUAUAAUAUAAAUGUUAAGCACCUGUAUACAGUAAAAUUAGUUUUAGGAGUAUAAAUCUGAUGGUAUUCUCAUUCUCAUUCAUUAGCUUAUUGCUUUGCAUUUUAUUUUUUUGAAAAUUAUGGACAUAGUAUUUCGAAUCUAAGCUUAAACAUUUUAUAAUCCUGCUUCAUGGUAUAUCUAAGUGUAUGUUAUUUUUAAUAUAAAAUUGUUAAGUAGCUCCAUAUGUGUUUCCUCUUCUUUUACCAUGUAUAUAUACAUCUAAAUGAAAAUAGAAUUUCUGUGAUUUUGAAUAUUUAUUAUUCUAAGAGCUUUUUGAAAAUGUCCAGUGUGUAAUUAUAUUUGUAUGUUAUGCAAUAGUCAAAUAAAUGUCGAAAGUGUUCCAUCAUAGUAGCCUGUAAUAAAUUAUGAAAAUUGCUUAGAAAGAAAAAGUAUAAAUGAAGAUAUAAAUUCGUUUAUUUUUUGAACAGCAAUUUGACAAUAAUAGUUGAAAUUCAAGUGUGUAAAUAUUUGAAGUGGUAUAACUUGCUGCUGGGAUUUUAUCUAUUCCAAGUCUCAAAUUUACAAUGAAGAAAGUAUGUUAUAUAUUGAGUAUCAAAUAAUUUGAUUCCUGAUCAAAUAAUUGAGCAUCUGAAAUAUAAGAUCAUAAUGGUUGUAUCUUUCAUCAUAUGAAUAUAAUUUAAACACUGGAAGAUAUUCUCAUGUGAAAGGGUGUUUUAAGUGGAUAUUUUAAAUUAUUUCAUUUUUUGAACAAAUAUCAACUAAUAGUGUGUUUACAGAGGUGUGUCCAUAUGCCUCUCAUUGUUCUAAUGGAAAUGGUAAUAUUUACUAUUCCUGAGGAAUGUAAUUAUCCUGACAUGAUUACAGAGUUAAGUAAUGCUUACUCAUCAGUGUUAUUAUAUUGGUGAUUAUUUUAGCAUUCUUAAGAUUUUUCUACAUGUGUAAGUUAAAUGGUAAAACAUUGUUAGUUAUCUGUAUAUUGCUACCUGACAAUCUGAAAUAAAUAUAUGAAUUGUUGAAAGUUGUCUGGAAGAUCAUACGGCAAAAAUUUAACAUUACUGUGUAGAGAGUUGGGAAUGGAAGGACUGCAUCUGCUUUCUGCAUUGAAAUUUUAAAGAUAUUUCAAAAGGAACAUUAAAACAACAAAAGGGAAUUUUAAAGAUACAACCAAGUUGUGCCUCUCUGUAUCCUUGCCUGUUGACAUCUUGGGAGUAUUGGGCUGUUAUAUCCAAUUUUGUAUUCCCAGUGGCCAUUCUGAAUAGUUUGUGAGUGAUCACGAAGAACGUGUAAUUUAGAGACUCUAGUACAGCAGAGUUAUACACACUGAAACAGUAUUGUGGGAUCCAAGAAGAGAGUAUGGGAGAAGAUGGGAUUUGAGAUGUACAUGAUGAAAAGAAGAGAUUUAUACAUAACCUGAGGACAGCUGACAUCAGGAACAUUCCUCAUGCUAUGGACUUCCUCAAUUUAAAAGACUUAUCUGGGAACCACAGGAGAUGAUAGUUCCAUGAAUACACACUUCUGCCCUCUUUGUUCGUAAUUGCAAGAUUUGGUAUCACCAGACCUCUCAUUGACAGUAUUAUUCAUUCAUGUGUUCUUCACCUCCGAUAUCUGGUCCCAGGAAUACCCCUUGGCGAAAUUAUUAAGGUUAAUUCACGGGAUAUGAGGCCAAGCGUGAAUGCAGACGAAUUCCUUAGACAUUGUUUUUCAGAGCGCCUUGGCUGCCUACCUGUUGAUCCCAGAAUAACCUUAAAGGUGAUGACUUAACAGAAAACUGAUGCUCUUGCUUCUGUCACCAUCUUCAAAUCCAAAAGACAGUCUUCAUAAUGUAUGGAGACUUCUGUUUCAUGUGUUGGAGUGGCUAUUCCUCACAGAUCAGAAAAACUGGACUGAGAAAGCUCAAGUUUGAAAGUCCUAAAGAGUGUCAUUGGAGGGAAUUGUAACCAGGCAUGUUGAAUGUUUUCAUUAUUGACACUGGACUAAAUCUCAGGAGCUUGAAUGUGGGAGAUGUUAUUAUACAGAAAUGCUCAGGAUGGUGUGAUUGCAAGGCUUCAUUUGAGUGUUCCCAUAAGUAUAAAGUGCAUAUAUUUAUAAUUUUCACUUACUACAGGGUAAAUUUAAAAUUGAUUGAUAAAAAAAUUACCUUUUUCCAUAUUUCAAAAGGCACAGAAAUUUGUGAAGGAUAGUAUUUUUUACUUAAAUGCUUUUUUCCCCUCCUAAUUCUACUUCCCAACAUUAUCUACUGUUAAUGGAGUUUUGUGCAUAUGCUUUUGGGGUAUAUUGAUGAACAAAUGGUUACGCUAGUAGUCUUUUGGAUACAUAUAUUAGCUACAAAUUUUCUAGGCAGUUACAUGCUUUAUAUAGAAAUAAUUUUUAAUUUCUCUGGCUAAUUUGUUGAAAACAGUCUUAGCAUUUCCACCUUAUUGGAAUUAAGUAUAUCCAAAAUUUAUAUUCUGAGUCAACAGUAGAAAUUUUCCCCAAAUGGUAUAAAUUGUCCUCAUCAAUCUUGUCUCCCACUAUUUGUUUAUGAGACUUCUGUUUUCUUGAACAGUAGAAACAUAUUUCAAUAUUUUAAUCUUUGAAAAUGUGGUAUUACAAAAAAAUUGCUUUCCUUCCCUUACUGUUCAGUUCAGUCAUCUUCAUAUGUCCUUAAACCUUACUAGUCACUUAUUUCAUUUUCCUCUGUGGGUUUUUUUUUUUUCAUUUCCCUUAGAAUAUUAGUAUUUUUGUUACUGGUUUCUAAAAUAUCAUUUAUGACUAAGGAUGUUAAACAUCUGCCAUGCAUUGCUAAUGAAAUACCAUGUGGUUCUCAUCACCGUUUACUGUGAUGUUUUACUUUUUGGUUGUACAGAAGUUGUGUAUUCAAAUAUAAUAAU